GACGAACGCUGGCGGCGUGCUUAACACAUGCAAGUCGAACGGUAAGGCCUUUCGGGGUACUCGAGCGGCGAACGGGUGAGUAACACGUGGGUGAUCUGCCCUGCACUUCGGGAUAAGCCUGGGAAACUGGGUCUAAUACCGGAUAUGACCUCCUAUCGCAUGGUGGGUGGUGGAAAGAUUUAUCGGUGCAGGAUGGGCCCGCGGCCUAUCAGCUUGUUGGUGGGGUAAUGGCCUACCAAGGCGACGACGGGUAGCCGACCUGAGAGGGUGACCGGCCACACUGGGACUGAGAUACGGCCCAGACUCCUACGGGAGGCAGCAGUGGGGAAUAUUGCACAAUGGGCGAAAGCCUGAUGCAGCGACGCCGCGUGAGGGAUGACGGCCUUCGGGUUGUAAACCUCUUUCAGCAGGGACGAAGCGCAAGUGACGGUAUCUGCAGAAGAAGCACCGGCUAACUACGUG
This 462-nucleotide ribosomal RNA is filed under the name uncultured bacterium. RNAcentral's name for it is "partial 16S ribosomal RNA". It matches the Rfam family "Bacterial small subunit ribosomal RNA", at positions 28 to 507 of the family's 1533-position model. The record is from RNAcentral.